This 819-nucleotide ribosomal RNA is filed under the name Escherichia coli. RNAcentral describes it as "partial 23S ribosomal RNA". It matches the Rfam family "Bacterial large subunit ribosomal RNA", at positions 1090 to 1911 of the family's 2925-position model. The record is from RNAcentral. Lineage: Bacteria; Pseudomonadati; Pseudomonadota; Gammaproteobacteria; Enterobacterales; Enterobacteriaceae.
CAACUAGGAUGUUGGCUUAGAAGCAGCCAUCAUUUAAAGAGUGCGUAAUAGCUCACUAGUCGAGUGACACUGCGCCGAAAAUGUACCGGGGCUAAACAUAUUACCGAAGCUGUGGAUUGUCCGUAGGACAAUGGUAGGAGAGCGUUCUAAGGGCGUCGAAGCAUGAUCGCAAGGACAUGUGGAGCGCUUAGAAGUGAGAAUGCCGGUGUGAGUAGCGAAAGACGGGUGAGAAUCCCGUCCACCGAUUGACUAAGGUUUCCAGAGGAAGGCUCGUCCGCUCUGGGUUAGUCGGGUCCUAAGCUGAGGCCGACAGGCGUAGGCGAUGGAUAACAGGUUGAUAUUCCUGUACCACCUAGUAUCGUUUUAAUCGAUGGGGGGACGCAGUAGGAUAGGCGAAGCGUGCUAUUGGAUUGCACGUCCAAGCAGUAAGACUGAGUGUUAGGCAAAUCCGGCACUCAUAAGGUCAAGCUGUGAUGGGGAGAGGAAAUUGUUUCCUCGAGUCGUUGAUUUCACACUGCCAAGAAAAGCCUCUAGAUAGAUAACAGGUGCCCGUACCGCAAACCGACACAGGUAGUCAAGAUGAGAAUUCUAAGGUGAGCGAGCGAACUCUCGUUAAGGAACUCGGCAAAAUGACCCCGUAACUUCGGGAGAAGGGGUGCUCUUUAGGGUUAACGCCCAGAAGAGCCGCAGUGAAUAGGCCCAAGCGACUGUUUAUCAAAAACACAGGUCUCUGCUAAACCGUAAGGUGAUGUAUAGGGGCUGACGCCUGCCCGGUGCUGGAAGGUUAAGAGGAGUAGUUAGCUUCUGCGAAGCUACGAA